Molecule: ribosomal RNA, 467 nt
Filed under: uncultured bacterium
Lineage: Bacteria
Description: partial 16S ribosomal RNA
Rfam family: Bacterial small subunit ribosomal RNA
Source: RNAcentral
GACGAACGCUGGCGGCGUGCUUAGCACAUGCAAGUCGAACGGAGAGGCCCUGCUUUUGUGGGGUGCUCGAGUGGCGAACGGGUGAGUAACACGUGAGUAACCUGCCCUUGACUUUGGGAUAACUUCAGGAAACUGGGGCUAAUACCGGAUAGGAGCUCCUGCUACAUGGUGGGGGUUGGAAAGUUUCGGCGGUUGGGGAUGGACUCGCGGCUUAUCAGCUUGUUGGUGGGGUAGUGGCUUACCAAGGCUUUGACGGGUAGCCGGCCUGAGAGGGUGACCGGCCACAUUGGGACUGAGAUACGGCCCAGACUCCUACGGGAGGCAGCAGUGGGGAAUAUGGCACAAUGGGCGGAAGCCUGAUGCAGCAACGCCGCGUGCGGGAUGACGGCCUUCGGGUUGUAAACCGCUUUCGCCUGUGACGAAGCGUGAGUGACGGUAAUGGGUAAAGAAGCACCGGCUAACUACGU